GCAGUAGCCGCGGUAAUACGUAGGGUGCAAGCGUUAAUCGGAAUUACUGGGCGUAAAGCGUGCGCAGGCGGUUUGUUAAGACAGAUGUGAAAUCCCCGGGCUCAACCUGGGAACUGCAUUUGUGACUGGCAAGCUAGAGUAUGGCAGAGGUGAGUGAAAUUUCCGGUGUAGCGGUGAAAUGCGUAGAUAUCGGAAGGAACACCUGUGGCGAAAGCGGCUCACUGGACAAUAACUGACGCUGAUGCACGAAAGCUAGGGGAGCAAACAGGAUUAGAUACCCGUGUAGUCCCUGUCUCUUAUAC
This 302-nucleotide ribosomal RNA is filed under the name uncultured bacterium. RNAcentral describes it as "partial 16S ribosomal RNA". It matches the Rfam family "Bacterial small subunit ribosomal RNA", at positions 508 to 807 of the family's 1533-position model. The record is from RNAcentral.